GACGAACCGAGCGAACGUUAUUCGGAAUCACUGGGCUUAAAGGGCGCGUAGGCGGGCCGUCAAGUCAGGGGUGAAAGCCUCCAGCUCAACUGGAGAAGUGCCUCUGAUACUGGCGGCCUCGAGGGAGGUAGGGGCGUGCGGAACUUCCGGUGGAGCGGUGAAAUGCGUAGAUAUCGGAAGGAACACCGGUGGCGAAAGCGGCGCGCUGGACCUCUUCUGACGCUGAGGCGCGAAAGCCAGGGGAGCGAACGGG
RNAcentral lists this ribosomal RNA (253 nucleotides) under uncultured bacterium. RNAcentral describes it as "partial 16S ribosomal RNA". It matches the Rfam family "Bacterial small subunit ribosomal RNA", at positions 524 to 776 of the family's 1533-position model. The record is from RNAcentral. RNAcentral also lists the same sequence under 1 other name.